Molecule: ribosomal RNA, 454 nt
Filed under: uncultured bacterium
Lineage: Bacteria
Description: partial 16S ribosomal RNA
Rfam family: Bacterial small subunit ribosomal RNA
Source: RNAcentral
GAUGAACGCUGACAGAAUGCUUAACACAUGCAAGUCCACUUGAACUUCGGUUUGGGUGGCGGACGGGUGAGUAACGCGUACAGAACUUGCCUCACAGAUAGGGACAACAUUUGGAAACGAAUGCCAAUACCUGAUAUUAUGAUUUUAGGGCAUCCUAGGAUUAUGAAAGCUAUAUGCGCUGUGAGAGAGCUUUGCGUCCCAUUAGCUAGUUGGAGAGGUAACGGCUCACCAAGGCGAUGAUGGGUAGCCGGCCUGAGAGGGUGAUCGGCCACAAGGGGACUGAGACACGGCCCUUACUCCUACGGGAGGCAGCAGUGGGGAAUAUUGGACAAUGGACCAAGAGUCUGAUCCAGCAAUUCUGUGUGCACGAUGAAGUUUUUCGGAAUGUAAAGUGCUUUCAGUUGGGAAGAAAAAAAUGACGGUACCAACAGAAGAAGUGACGGCUAAAUACGUG